CGUGUAGGCGGGUCUGUAAGUCAGAUGUGAAAUGCCGCAGCUUAACUGCGGAGCUGCAUUUGAAACUGCAGAUCUUGAGUGAUGGAGAGGUAAACGGAAUUCCCGGUGUAGCGGUGAAAUGCGUAGAGAUCGGGAGGAACACCAGUGGCGAAGGCGGUUUACUGGACAUUAACUGACGCUGAGGCGCGAAAGCGUGGGGAGCAAACAGGAUUAGAUACCCUGGUAGUCCACGCUGUAAACGAUGGAUACUAGGUGUGGGGGGACUGACCCCUUCCGUGCCGGAGUUAACACAAUAAGUAUCCCACCUGGGGAGUACGGUCGCAAGAUUAAA
Molecule: ribosomal RNA, 331 nt
Filed under: uncultured bacterium
Lineage: Bacteria
Description: bacterial SSU rRNA
Rfam family: Bacterial small subunit ribosomal RNA
Source: RNAcentral